ACUCCCAGCGCAGGACCGGGGCCCACCACCCCUACCCAUUUACCUAGAUCCAAACUGCAGUCCAGCUGGAGACUAAGGCCUGCCCCCAAGAAUCAAUUCUCUGUCCACUUCAUUGGCGAGUGAAAACUCCCCUCUUCCUCUCCAAUAACGACCACACAGAACGCCGAAUGGCCCCACAGAGUGUGGAAACAAGUACAGGACCAUGGCCUAAAUUCAUGAAGAUUUAUUUUUGGAAGCACAAUGAAUCCCAUGGAGAGUAAAUGAAAGAAGAGACAUGCAUUGUUAAACAAUAAAACGAAAAAAUAUCCCAAGGAGAAGGAAAGACUUAACAAGCUGUCAUAAAAAAGUUAGGUUAUCUACCAAAGAGAAAUGAAACCAACAGCCUAGUUGUUAGCAAUGGAAGCCAGAAGACAGUGGUAUGUCUUCAAAGUGCUGAGAGAAAACUAUCAUUCUUGAAUUGUAUGCAUUUAAAAAACUAUCAUAUAUUAAAAACUAAAAUUCUACCACAACUGAAGGAACUUCAAUUCAGGAAAAUGCAAAGUGAUUCCAGAAAAAUACCCCCACCCCCACCCCCAAAAAAAGUCAAGAAAAAAAAGAUUAAGAUUUUCAUUUAAUUAGUAAAAUUCUCACCUAUCCCUAAGGAGUCUGGAAUAGUUUUGUGUGAGCAUCUGGCUAGGAUUCUGACCAGCUCUGUAUGAACAUAUACUUUCGUUUCUCUUAAGUAAAGAUGUAGGAGUCUAAUGGCUGAUCAUGUAAGACAUAGAGGUUCAAGUCACUGCAGACUUGUUUUCCCCAAGCGGCUUUACCAUUCUACACCCUCAGCAGCAUUGUAAGAGAGUUCUGAGUGGCUCACACCCUCAUCAACAUUUGGCACAGUCAGUCUUUUUUCUAAGAGGUGCAGUGAAGUGCAUCCACUGGAUGCAACUCUCCCUACACCAUCCCCAGAGGUUAUCUGGCACAGUCUGGAUACAUUUUUGGGGUUGACACAAUUGUUGGUGGCGGCGGGGAUGCUGCUAAGCAUACCACAAAGCAUGGGACAGUCCUCCACAACAAAACACUAAAAAACCAAACUCACUGACAUCAAGGCUAUUCCAACUCGUAGUGACCUGUAGAGCAGGGAGAACUUCCCCAUUUGGGUUUCCAAAAUUAUAAACCAUUACAAGAGUAGAAAGCCUCAUCUUUCUCCUGCAGAGUUGCUGGUGGUUUUGAACUGCUAACCUUAUGGUUAGUAGUCCAACCUAUACCCCACUAUGCUAACACACUCCCUCAACAAAGAAUGAGUUUGGGUCAAAAAGUCAAGUGGUUAAGAAGCCUGGGAGAAGUUGUGAUUUUAAUUUGCAUUUCCUUUAUGACUAGGAAUAAAUUACUGAAAAUCUUU
This is a long non-coding RNA of Echinops telfairi (small Madagascar hedgehog), 1378 nucleotides long. RefSeq lists it as uncharacterized. The transcript is spliced from 2 exons. NCBI's taxonomy places the organism in Eukaryota, Metazoa, Chordata, Mammalia, Afrosoricida, Tenrecidae. The record is from RefSeq and is a predicted model, not a curated record.